GUAGUCGUCCCUCUUUUUCCUCAAUGUUUUACCGGGUGUUUUCUGGUUGCGGUUCCCCGACCUGCCACUGAGUGAAACUCGGCCCCGCGAUUGGACUGAAACUAGACUAGAUGUCAGAGAAUGUGAGUUUAGCAUGCAGGGAGAAAAAAACACAAAGGCAAACCGUUUUUAAAAUAUAUCCAAUAUAUAUCAGUUGUGCUAUAGAUAGGUUUUUCAAACGCCCUCUAGUGGCAUUCGGGGAAAAAGUGAAUUUCGAGAAUCUAGGGUGGAGAAUAGAAUCACAGCAUCUUUGGGAGAGGUUCUUUAGUUCAGCAACUCAUUUGCUAUCUGAAUACCGUGGCCUGAAAUACCCCACAAAAAUAUUAGGCCGCGGAAGAGAGGAACGUGAAAGAAAAAUUUUCGCGACGUUUCCCCACCCCCACCCCAGAUGACCUCGUGUUUUGUAAGAAAUUAUGGACGUAAUUACUACACCAUCCUACUCGCAAAUGGUCCCCAUGGUCUACUCAUCACCAAGCUAAGAAUGCUUCCCUGGGCAGAGACCUUGACAAACUUAAUAUAAAAAUUCGCCAAUCUGGAAUUCCCGUUGUGGCGCAGCAGAAACGGAUCCAACUAGGAACCAUGAAGUUGUGGGUUCAAUCCCUGGCCUGGAUCAGUGGGUUAAGGAUCCGGUGUUGCCAUGAGCUGUGGUGUAGGUCAAAGAUGCAGCGCGAAUCUGGCGUGGCUGUGGCUGUGGUUGUAGGCCAGCAGCUGUAGCUCCGACUGGACCCCUACCCUGGGAACCUCCAUAUGGCACGGGUGUGGCCCUAAAAAAAAAAAAAUCGCAAAUCCUUUGGUACCACGUAGCUGAACCAAGGCCACAUUAACAUUCUGAAGAUCUUUCAGACAUUUGACCUUGAGGCCAGUUCAUGGCCUCUAUCCACCACCCACUUGAUUUGAAGCCCCCCUGAUCCAUUCCAGCAGCAGAAGUGGAUGGAACUGAGUGAUAGACCACCUCCCUAAGACUCAGCCCAAGAAGAGGAGGGACACUGGGCAGUGCCGGCAGCAGAGCGAACGGAAGAGUUGAAAUGGACCAAAGAGAAGAGACAGAGGGAGCAGGAGGUGGCUCCCUGCCUUUGAUUCCUCUGGGCAAUGACCACAUGGCUGCUGGGCCCGUUGACACGAGAUAGAGGAACUGGUUGGGUAAGAAGACCUGCCUCCAAACAUCCCUUCCCCUGAGGAGUUUAUACGAGUUGGAACCUGCCCAAAGCAAAGAACUACUUUUACUUUCUUUUAUGUUAUAUGGGUGUUGAGAGCUACAAAAGCAGUAAAACGACAACGUAGCUGUGGACGGUACCAACACACCCUUCCUGUGGGGCGUGUGAGCAGGGGGUCCCCCUGUGUCUACACACUAGCCAUCGCCAUUCCCUACAAGUCGGGCUGUUGUGUGCCUCUGCACUCUUCCACAGGCUGUUCCUUCAGCCUGGAAUGCUUCCCUCCCAUCUUGUCUGCUUAUUCAACCUCAUUUUUCAUGGCUCACCUUGGAGCUUUUGCUAACAACCCCCCCCCACCCCGCCAACACUAAAAUGACAGGUGACUAAUUGGCUGGAUGUCCCUCUUCCACUUUUUCCAUAACAUCCAUGGUGCCUCUCUCACAGCCUUAUAACACUGUGGGGUAAUUAUUUUAAGUAUGUCCUCUCCACUAGCUGGAGGGUGAGGGUUGUAAUACAUUCACCUCUUUUUCUUCAGGCCUAGGCAAGGUGCUCUUAGCACCUACGUGCUUUUCAAUAAAUAUUUCUGAAGAGAUGAAAAUUAAGGAUAGAAUGACGUUGGGAGUUCCCUGGUGGGCUAGUGAUUAGGACUUGGAGCUUUCACUGGAGCUGUAGCCAGGGUUUGAUCCCUCAUCUGGGAACUGAGACCGCACAUCAAGCCUCUGCCGGCAGUGGCCAAAAAAAAAGAGAACUCUGCAUGUUGAAUAAUUGUCACAUAUUCUUUUGUCCUCAGACUAAAUCUUAUUUAGUAUCCUUACAGCAUCCUAAUAAGGUGCUUACCUUCUGACCCAAACAAUUUGCUGACCUCCUUGUCAGAGUCAUGAGAAAUGAGGUUGAAUAAGGAGACAAGAUGGGAGGGGAGCAUUCCAGACUGAAGGAACAGCCUGAGCGAGAGCGCAGAGGCACACAAGGUCAGGGCUAAUUGGAUUUGUCUAAAGAGAAGACAAAAAAAAGAAGUGGGAGGCGGAGGGAGAGAGAGAGAGAGAGAGAGAACGAUGGGAGAAAGAGACUUAAAGCAGCCAAGCCUUGUCUUGCUGCAAAGUUUACUAGACUCAAUCUGAAUAAAAUUGGAUCAGCAGGCACCAGCCCUUCAGCCCUGAUUUAAGGGACAAAAGAUGUUGAAUGCGCAAUUAGAGAGGAGUGUGGGAAGGAGGGAGGCUGCUGGGAUCUGAAGGACCUGGUCAGGGGAGAGAGUCAUGCCCAUUAGUGGCUAUUAAGAGAAGCGACAUGUGGCCUGCGGCACUCAUGUCCCCACCAACAGCCUCGGGUUCCUAGAAUCUGAGUUCGCUGAGGCCAACCACCCCACCACCUGCUCCUCUGGUGCCACCGAUGAUGGAGUGACUCUGACACCGUUUAUGGCUGCCUUGAGCAAGUUACUUCCUUUGACAUCUAUUUUAAAAGGAGCAUAGCGAUUCUUGUUUGUUGUUGUCAUGAGCUCAGAAGCUCAGAGUGACCAUAAAGCACCCUUAUUAUAAUUUUGUCCAGUAAUACUCUACAGUUAAUUAUAGCCUGUGAGAAUUAUACUUAGCUGCAGAACAAUGAACAAGAGCCCUUCAUGUGUGAAUAUAUUUUAUUCAGGCUAUUUUUGAAAAA
Molecule: long non-coding RNA, 2840 nt
Filed under: Sus scrofa (pig)
Lineage: Eukaryota; Metazoa; Chordata; Mammalia; Artiodactyla; Suidae
Description: lncRNA (ENSSSCG00005003579.1)
Source: RNAcentral